RNAcentral lists this ribosomal RNA (810 nucleotides) under Triticum aestivum (bread wheat). RNAcentral's name for it is "partial small subunit ribosomal RNA". The record is from RNAcentral. Lineage: Eukaryota; Viridiplantae; Streptophyta; Magnoliopsida; Poales; Poaceae.
AUGGAACAGGAGAUCCAUGCUCUUCGAAAGAAUAAUACCUGGCGCCUGGUUCCACCUCCCUCUGGUGUCAAUAUUAUUGACUCUAAAUGGGUGUUCAAGGUGAAGAAACAUGCCGACGGAUCCAUUGAGAGGUACAAGGCAAGAUUGGUUGCCAAGGGGUUUAAACAAAGGUAUGGCCUUGAUUAUGAAGAUACGUUUAGUCCUGUUAUCGAACCCACGACUAUUCGUGUUCUUCUUUCGCUGGCUGUUACUCGAGGAUGGUCGCUUCGUCAGCUCGAUGUCCAGAAUGCCUUUCUUCAUGGAGUUCUGGAAGAAGAGGUAUAUAUGCGCCAGCCACCAGGUUUUGUUGACCCUGCUCAGCCACAUCAUCUGUGUCGCCUCGACAAGGCUCUCUAUGGUUUGAAGCAGGCUCCUCGUGCGUGGCAUGCACGUCUUGGCGCUGCUCUUCGUGCACAUGGGUUUAUACCGUCUACAGCAGACACGUCUCUGUUCAUUCUUCAGCGACCUGAGGUGACUAUGUACAUUCUGGUCUAUGUUGAUGACAUCAUACUUGUCAGUUCGUCCGUCACUGCUGCAGAUCGACUUGUGGCUUCUCUAGGGGCUAUUUUUGCUGUUAAGGAUCUUGGGAGACUGCACUAUUUUUUGGGCCUGGAGGUUCUUCAUUCUGACAGUGGCUUGACUCUCACUCAGCAGAAGUACUCUCAGGAUUUGUUACGACGUGCGGGUAUGAUGCAGUGUAAAACUGCUACGACUCCUAUGUCCUCCACAGACAAAUUGUCAGCUUUUGAUGGGGACUUGCUCUCCUCUUAG